Molecule: ribosomal RNA, 448 nt
Filed under: uncultured Glomus
Lineage: Eukaryota; Fungi; Glomeromycota; Glomeromycetes; Glomerales; Glomeraceae
Description: SSU rRNA
Rfam family: Eukaryotic small subunit ribosomal RNA
Source: RNAcentral
CGCAGCCGCGGUAAUUCCAGCUCCAAUAGCGUAUAUUAAAGUUGUUGCAGUUAAAAAGCUCGUAGUUGAAUUUCGGGGUUAGUAGGUUGGUCGUGCCACUGGUACGUACUGGUCUCACUGACUCCUCCUUCCUGAUGAACUGUAAUGCCAUUAAUUUGGUGUUGCAGGGAAACUGGACUGUUACUUUGAAAAAAUUGAGUGUUUAAAGCAAGCUAACGCUUGAAUACAUUAGUAUGGAAUAAUGAAAUAGGACGUUCGAUCCUAUUUUGUUGGUUUCUAGGAUUGACGUAAUGAUUAAUAGGGAUAGUUGGGGGCAUUAGUAUUCAAUUGUCAGAGGUGAAAUUCUUGGAUUUAUUGAAGACUAACUACUGCGAAAGCAUUUGCCAAGGAUGUUUUCAUUAAUCAAGAACGAAGUUAGGGAUCGAAGACGAUCAGAUACCGUCGUAGU